ACGAAGGCUUCAAGCGUUAUCCGGAUUUAUUGGGCGUAAAGGGUCUCCAGACGGUCGUGUUAGUCGGGUGUUAAAUCUCUGGGCUUAACUCAGAGGCAGCAUUCGAAACGGCACGACUAGAGGCAGGGAGAGGCAACUAGAACUCACGGUGUAGGGGUGAAAUCCGUUGAUAUCGUGGGGAAUACCAAAGGCGAAGGCAUGUUGCUGGCCCUGUCCUGACGUUCACAGACGAAAGCGCGGGGAGCGAAUGGGA
Molecule: ribosomal RNA, 253 nt
Filed under: uncultured prokaryote
Description: partial 16S ribosomal RNA
Rfam family: Bacterial small subunit ribosomal RNA
Source: RNAcentral